CGCGGCCGCCCCCCCUCCCCGGGGGGUGGUUUUUCCCCCCAGAGGAGGAAAAAACUCCAGUCAGUGAACGUCGCAGUCUGAAAAAACAUUCAAUAAACUAAAACUUUCAACAACGGAUCUCUUGGUUCUGGCAUCGAUGAAGAACGCAGCGAAAUGCGAUAAGUAAUGUGAAUUGCAGAAUUCAGUGAAUCAUCGAAUCUUUGAACGCACAUUGCGCCCCUUGGUAUUCCGAGGGUUUUUUUUGUUCGAGCGUCAUUACAACCCUCAAGCUCUGCUUGGUAUUGGGCACCGCCCUUCUUCCGGCGCGCCUCAAAGACCUCGGCGGUGGCUGUCUUGCCUCAAGCGUAGUAGAAUACACCUCGCUUCGGAGCGCAGGGCGUCGCCCGCCGGACGAACCUUCUGAACUUUUCUCAAGGUUGACCUCGGAUCAGGUAGGGAUACCCGCUGAACUUAAGCAUAUCA
This 462-nucleotide ribosomal RNA is filed under the name Fusicoccum sp. Fun4D2. Its description in RNAcentral is "eukaryotic LSU rRNA". The stretch from base 102 to 255 matches the Rfam family "5.8S ribosomal RNA". The record is from RNAcentral. Lineage: Eukaryota; Fungi; Ascomycota; Dothideomycetes; Botryosphaeriales; Botryosphaeriaceae.